Molecule: ribosomal RNA, 319 nt
Filed under: Actinomycetota bacterium
Lineage: Bacteria; Bacillati; Actinomycetota
Description: bacterial SSU rRNA
Rfam family: Bacterial small subunit ribosomal RNA
Source: RNAcentral
UUCACGGAGAGUUUGAUCCUGGCUCAGGACGAACGCUGGCGGCGCGCUUAACACAUGCAAGUCGAGCGAUCGGCUCCGGGCCUUCGGGCCUGGAGUACGGAGCGGCGAACGGGUGAGUAACACGUGGGUAACCUGCCCUCGGCAUCGGGAUAACCCCGGGAAACCGGGGCUAAUACCGAAUAGCCUCCGGAGCCUGCGGGCGCCGGAGAAAAGGUAGCUUCGGCCUCUGGCCGAGGAGGGGCCCGCGGCCGAUUAGCUUGUUGGUGGGGUAACGGCCCACCAAGGCGACGAUCGGUAGCUGGUGUGAGAGCAUGGCCAG